This 327-nucleotide long non-coding RNA is filed under the name Ananas comosus (pineapple). RNAcentral describes it as "long non-coding RNA (ACOM_LNC029477)". The record is from RNAcentral. Lineage: Eukaryota; Viridiplantae; Streptophyta; Magnoliopsida; Poales; Bromeliaceae.
AAAAUAUACUAGUGAAGGAGCCCGCGCUUUGCAGCCGGUAAAAACCAUAGUAGUAAUUAAUAAUAAAAAAAUAUUAAAUAUUCUUUUGUAUAUCCCACUUGGUAUAUCCACUAAGGUGCCGUUUGGUUGGAUGUAGUUGAAGAAACAGUGUAGUUGGAAAUACAUGCAGUUGCAAAUGCUACAGUUAUAACUGCACCUAGUCUGUUUAGUUUUAUACAGUUGCAACUGCUGCAGUUACAUUUUUCUGUUUGGUAGGCUGCAGUUGAGAUUUGUAUUUAUAAAUACUGUGUCACCUUUUAGAUAGAAAGAUGAAAUUACCUCUCAUAG